UUGUCCAUCCAUUUUUACAUUUCGAAGUAGUCUAGGAUGUUUAGCUAGAGUCUCAAUAUCUUAGCAACUUUACCUGGAAAUACUUGAGAGAUUCUCGCCUCAGGGCUUUGAUAAAGUGGUAAGAGCACAACCCGUGAUGUUUGAUGUUUUUGUUAGGCGCAUGUCACAGGCUACAGAAAAAAACAGAGGCGAAUUCAGGAUUUAAGCUCUAUGAGGUCCAACCUUUAAGUUUUUUAGCCUUGAACCCAUUAUAAUUUUAAAACUAUGGGUUCAUAUCAGCCAUUUAUUGCACCUUUAGUGAAGUUUUACACAUAAAUUUAUGUUCCAUGUCAAUAAUACUACAUGAACUCGAUACUUAUAAGCUCCAUCCGACCCUGGCAAAAACCUGAUAUAUUUGAGUGGAGGAGGAUAGAUAGACGGACCCAUCAUCCAUGGAGUUUCAAACCGUGCACCAUUGGCCCCAGUGGCGAAGCCAGGAAUUUUGCAAAGAUGUUCAAAGUUUAAUAUAUAUUUAUAAAAAGUAAUUUUUGACCUAUAUACAUAGUAUAUAUUUCUAUAUAUUCGGUAUAAUUUUCGAAUGAAGGGUGUUCAACUGAAUACCCUUCACUCUAUGUGGCUACGCCACUGAUUGGCCCACCGGGAUUUGUCGGUUAUCAAAAAAAAAAUUAAGAGAUACUCUUAUCUUGCAAGUUAAUAGCUAGAGUUUGUACAUCUAUUUUUCCUAUCAAUAUAUGAUUACUGUUCAAGUAGAAAUGUUCUGCUUCUUCUUUUUUGGUAAUUUGGUAAAAGAAGAGUAAAAGGUUAAAGUGAAUACCUGAAGUCUGUGCAAUUCAUCUGACAUUGAUUUAUGGGCAUUCAAGAGUAGUUCACUUUCUUUCUCCAGAUGCCUGUACCAAAAACAUUACUCAGAAACCAAAUUAAACACCCACAUACAAAACCAAGAAAAGAAAACAUCUUUCACACAAGCAGAACAUUAUGAAGAAAGAGGAAAGUAACUCAAAAAUAUAACUUACUUCAAGGUUUCUCCUGCAUAUUUGGGAUCCAUGAAAAAAAUCUAUCUGUAGCCACAAACCCUUAGUGGGUCGUAGGAAUUCGCUCAAUAUCAGGAGAAUCAAAG
RNAcentral lists this long non-coding RNA (1117 nucleotides) under Nicotiana tabacum (common tobacco). Its description in RNAcentral is "long non-coding RNA (NTAB_LNC010151)". Lineage: Eukaryota; Viridiplantae; Streptophyta; Magnoliopsida; Solanales; Solanaceae. The record is from RNAcentral.